CUCUGAGUUGUCCACGGAUUAAUUGGCAAGAUCUCUUCAUGAGACGGUGUCGUUAUCACAGAAUUUAUAUUUAACUCAUUGAUUAUAUACUCCGGUUUAUACCACCAUGCUUCAGCAUUAGCAAGCUCAGCAUCAACAUGGGAGGGUAGAACUCUGUUGUCCUUGUAAUGAUAGUAGUUGUCUGAUUCAUUGGUGGUAACGAUAAUUCUCUUUAACCAUUUAACCAUACGCCCACCGAUGAAACCUGGAAUAAUCAUCCUCACAGGGAAUCCAUGGUCAGGAGCCAAAAGAUCACCGUUUUGCAUGUAGGCCAGGAUAAUAUCACGCGAUGGAUCCAUAGCAUACUCUUUCUUGAUGCUGGUCCCGUACUUGGUCCCACCUCCACCUGGCAGAUCCUC
This 398-nucleotide unclassified non-coding RNA is filed under the name Hevea brasiliensis (rubber tree). The record is from RNAcentral. Lineage: Eukaryota; Viridiplantae; Streptophyta; Magnoliopsida; Malpighiales; Euphorbiaceae.